This 548-nucleotide ribosomal RNA is filed under the name uncultured bacterium. RNAcentral describes it as "bacterial SSU rRNA". It matches the Rfam family "Bacterial small subunit ribosomal RNA", at positions 294 to 842 of the family's 1533-position model. The record is from RNAcentral.
GAGAGGAAGGUCCCCCACAUUGGAACUGAGACACGGUCCAAACUCCUACGGGAGGCAGCAGUGAGGAAUAUUGGUCAAUGGGCGAGAGCCUGAACCAGCCAAGUAGCGUGAAGGAUGACUGCCCUAUGGGUUGUAAACUUCUUUUAUAAAGGAAUAAAGUCGGGUAUGGAUACCCGUUUGCAUGUACUUUAUGAAUAAGGAUCGGCUAACUCCGUGCCAGCAGCCGCGGUAAUACGGAGGAUCCGAGCGUUAUCCGGAUUUAUUGGGUUUAAAGGGAGCGUAGAUGGAUGUUUAAGUCAGUUGUGAAAGUUUGCGGCUCAACCGUAAAAUUGCAGUUGAUACUGGAUAUCUUGAGUGCAGUUGAGGCAGGCGGAAUUCGUGGUGUAGCGGUGAAAUGCUUAGAUAUCACGAAGAACUCCGAUUGCGAAGGCAGCCUGCUAAGCUGCAACUGACAUUGAGGCUCGAAAGUGUGGGUAUCAAACAGGAUUAGAUACCCUGGUAGUCCACACGGUAAACGAUGAAUACUCGCUGUUUGCGAUAUACUGCAA